CGCGGCGGGAGGGUGGGAGGGCGGGCGCGGUGCGGCGGGACCUUCCCCUCGGCGCCGGGCACCAUGAUGGUGGGCAGGACCAGCGCCAUCGCGGCGGGUCUUUGCGGGGCCCUUUUCAUCGGUUACUGCAUCUACUUCGACCGCAAGAGACGGAGCGACCCGAAUUUCAAGAACCGGCUGCGGGAGCGAAGGAAGAAACAGAAGCUUGCCAAAGAGAAAGCAGGACUUUCCAAGUUGCCUGAUUUGAAAGAUGCUGAAGCAGUUCAGAAGUUUUUCCUCGAGGAGAUUCAGCUUGGGGAGGAACUACUAGCUCAAGGUGAAUAUGAGAAAGGUGUUGAUCACUUGACCAAUGCCAUUGCUGUGUGUGGACAGCCGCAGCAGCUACUACAAGUUCUACAGCAGACUCUACCACCUCCAGUGUUUCAAAUGCUUCUAACUAAGCUCCCUACAAUAAGCCAGAGAUGUGUGUGGCACUCUGAAGAAUCUGUCCAGAUGAAGCCUCUGCUUCUGCAAGCUCACAGCCUGCGGUCCUGAUCCUGUAAUUUACCCUGCAUGGUCCUUUCCUCAUGGAAACCUAAGCAGUCAAGAGCAGGACAUUGGGACACAGGAAGGGAGAAGAAAAGAGCUGCAGAAGGAAAAGGCAAGCACUGGCAUACUUAAACAGGGAAAAGAAAAACUGGAUUCACAGUGGUGACUUUGACUCCAUCUGGCAAAGGCAAACUUAUCUCCUAAAUGAGAAAGGCACAGCCACGAAGAGGAAAAACAAAUGGGUCACAGAGAGAACCAGCCUGUUCCUUCUGACCGAGUAGUUGCAAGUGACAAAGUCUCACUGGUACUUGUUUAGAAGAUCCCUCCAUUUUAGGAGUUGCUCUGUCACAAGGAUACCAAAGGGCUUUCGGGUACAUGAGAUCUGCGUACAGAGUUUCAUAAUGGAUUUUAUAAAGUUUGCUGCACUUUACCCCACUUUGCUCAGUAAAUAUUUUGCUUCUAAAUCA
This is an RNA transcript of Neopsephotus bourkii (Bourke's parrot), 995 nucleotides long. It is a transcript of the gene named translocase of outer mitochondrial membrane 20, with no coding region annotated. The transcript has 7 exons. The record is from RefSeq and is a predicted model, not a curated record. Lineage: Eukaryota; Metazoa; Chordata; Aves; Psittaciformes; Psittacidae.